This 66-nucleotide transfer RNA is filed under the name Dolichovespula xanthicincta. RNAcentral describes it as "tRNA-Phe". The record is from RNAcentral. Lineage: Eukaryota; Metazoa; Arthropoda; Insecta; Hymenoptera; Vespidae.
AUUUAAAUAGCUUAAGAUAAGAGCAUAAUAUUGAAGAUAUUAAGGUAACAUCCUUGUUUUUAAAUA